RNAcentral lists this microRNA precursor (103 nucleotides) under Marmota monax (woodchuck). Lineage: Eukaryota; Metazoa; Chordata; Mammalia; Rodentia; Sciuridae. The record is from RNAcentral.
AUAUGAAUCACCUGGGGACCUUGUUAAAAAACAGAUUCUGAGUCAGUUGGUUUAAGGUGAGACCUGAAUUCAGCAAUUCUAACUAGCUCCCAGUGGGGGCGGG